Molecule: long non-coding RNA, 810 nt
Organism: Lontra canadensis (Northern American river otter)
Lineage: Eukaryota; Metazoa; Chordata; Mammalia; Carnivora; Mustelidae
Exons: 4
Source: RefSeq, a predicted model, not a curated record
CUGGUGAGGCUCUUGGCCUCACAAGCUGCAGGAGGCUGACUGCCCUGGGGUGUUGGCGCCUGGCACACAGUGGGCACCCUUGAUGAGAAGCCUGAGGCCAGAAAGCAGCAGCAACUGGUGACAUCCCAGCCCUUGUCUUUGCCUGCAAAGAAUGGAGGCCUGGAAUUCCUACCAGAAGAUACAGAAACAACCAACAUGCAUAGACAAGCUGCUUGGAGGCCAGGAUGUACAAACAGAGAAAUGUCGUUUCCCACCAACCAGAAUGGUCCUAAUGAUGUACUACUCUUGGGUAAAUUGAGCCAAUAAUCACUGGAAUCAUUUCCUGUGUGCCCAGUGCAGAUGGGAAAACAACUGAGAAGCCAUCUGCCCUGGCUGAAAAAAUAUGGCCAUCAGACCCGUGUGCGCCCCUGGGCGGUGAUGCUGGUGGAGAACCACUGUGCCAAUGCCAGAGUGGCCCCAGGGCAAGUCAGUCUGGGCCUGGUUGUCACCGUUCUCCUCCAGGCUAGAUGCACGCACGCCACGCCCACCCAGGAAUCGACUCCCCAGACCUCCUUGGCUCAGGUCUUCCCUUCUUCCAAAGAUGUGACCAACCAGCCAGGUUCCUGCCUAUUGCCCAGAGUCCACACAUCCCUGUCCUUCAGGCUGCUUUUCCCUUUUCCUCAGCGAGCAACUCAGCACUCCAGGGCCAUCUAUCCCCACCAGUCUCCUUGAGGGACCUGCCACGGGGAUUGCCCGAUGGCAGAGGCCCAUAAUUGGUUGCAGGCCUAUCUGUGAGCCUGGCCUUCCUAUUUUCUCCUCCACCCUUUGACC